ACGCUCGACACCUACGGGAGCCAGCAGUAGGGAAUCUUCCACAAUGGACGCAAGUCUGAUGGAGCAACGCCGCGUGAGUGAAGAAGGUUUUCGGAUCGUAAAGCUCUGUUGUUGGUGAAGAAGGAUAGAGGUAGUAACUGGCCUUUAUUUGACGGUAAUCAACCAGAAAGUCACGGCUAACUACGUGCCUGCAGCCGCGGUAAUCUGAGCGGGCUGGCAAGGC
Molecule: ribosomal RNA, 223 nt
Filed under: uncultured bacterium
Lineage: Bacteria
Description: partial 16S ribosomal RNA
Rfam family: Bacterial small subunit ribosomal RNA
Source: RNAcentral